GGCUUCGCUCUUCAUACCCUCACCCACCGUUCCUUCCCUGCCCCCACCGUCCACUGGUCUGGCCGUAUCUGGGCUCGAACCGGCUGCACCUACUCCAACGGGCAUUUCUCCUGUGCCACGGGAGAUUGUGGCCACCGCAUUGAAUGCAACGGUCUCGGUGGAGCCACUCCUGUCACAAUUGCUCAGUUCAGCCUCCACCACGGUGGCCACAAAGAUCUCUCUUCCUACGAAGUCAGCCUUGUGGACGGUUUUAACAUCCCCAUGACUGUGACCCCGCACGAAGGCAAAGGCCUUUGUCCCGUCGUUGGGUGCAGGGCUAAUAUUCUGGCCACGUGUCCCGGCAAGUUACA
Molecule: long non-coding RNA, 350 nt
Filed under: Gossypium barbadense (sea-island cotton)
Lineage: Eukaryota; Viridiplantae; Streptophyta; Magnoliopsida; Malvales; Malvaceae
Description: long non-coding RNA (GBAR_LNC015997)
Source: RNAcentral